Molecule: transfer RNA, 73 nt
Filed under: Thermoplasmata archaeon
Lineage: Archaea; Methanobacteriati; Thermoplasmatota; Thermoplasmata
Rfam family: tRNA
About the family: Transfer RNA (tRNA) molecules are approximately 80 nucleotides in length. Their secondary structure includes four short double-helical elements and three loops (D, anti-codon, and T loops). Further hydrogen bonds mediate the characteristic L-shaped molecular structure. tRNAs have two regions of fundamental functional importance: the anti-codon, which is responsible for specific mRNA codon recognition, and the 3' end, to which the tRNAs corresponding amino acid is attached (by aminoacyl-tRNA synthetases). tRNAs cope with the degeneracy of the genetic code in two manners: having more than one tRNA (with a specific anti-codon) for a particular amino acid; and 'wobble' base-pairing, i.e. permitting non-standard base-pairing at the 3rd anti-codon position.
Source: Rfam by way of RNAcentral
GGGCUGGUAGAUUAGGGGUUAUAUCGCCUGCUUUGCAAGCAGGAGGCCGCGAGUUCGAAUCUCGCUCAGUCCA